Molecule: long non-coding RNA, 1821 nt
Filed under: Pandoravirus celtis
Description: hypothetical ncRNA
Source: RNAcentral
ACUGUGGCGGCCGGCGACCGGCGGGCCGCUGUCGGCGGGCCGCCCGUGGGUCCGGCGCGCACGGCCACCUUUUCGGCGUGGUUUCGCGACCUGGCCGCCCACGAACGCAUUCCGCUCGACAUUGCUAGCGCGGCGUCGGCCAUGCUCUGCGCACUCCCCGAGCCCUACUAUGCUCGACACCAUCAGCGACGCGCCGCUGUCGGCUGUGUGCGCAUCGCCUUCAAGUGGGUCUUUGACGGAUUUCGCGCCGACAAGGGCUGCCGCGGUCUCGACCUCUACUUGGAGCCGACGCAAGAGUCGUGGAUCCAGCACGAGGUCGACAUCCUGUCGCACCUGGGCUGGGAGAUUGGGCGCUUCUUUGCGCCAGUGGGCCUGCCGACCGCACUCGCCACACCGCGGCCCCUCUUGGCCGCCGUGGCACCGCACCGCACUUUGAAAGGCGCCGCGCGCGACCACGCCCGCCCGCUCAACAAUAAUGGCACGGACGAUGCCAACAAUCACAACAGCAAUAUCAACAAUGCCGAUGACGAUGCCAAUGCCAGUAGUAGUGGCAACCGACGUGGUCGUCGCCAUCGGCGCCGGUCACCGGUUCCGAGGUCUGAACCCGAUGGCCCGCCGACGGGUGACCAUGCAACUGUUUCACUUAUUCCUCGACGGCGACGACCGCAGCAGGCGGCCGCGCCAUCCCUCCCACAACGACCAUUGGAGCCCUACCCCGCACUGUCGACUUUGCCCCAGCGAUCACCAACCAAUGCUGGCCAUCGAGCGCCAACGUUUUCAUCCACUUUUGCGGCAUCAACAACAACAACGACAAAAGCAAGGGGCGUAUCGAGCAUGACGCCAACAUCGGCUUUUUAUGAUGACAUGCGGGACGACGUCGACAGACAGCGCGAUCAAAAAGGCAAGGGAGAUCAAGCGCCGGCGCCUGUGGCAAGCAUGCGCGGGGCUGCAGCACCGCCGGCACUUUUUCCGGCUGCGAGGUGCCGCGCCGCGUCGAGCGACUCGGAGCGAUCGGCGCGCAGCCGGUACGCAAACCGCACGUCGGCCGAGGCGCGAUCGAUGGCGCGCGCCAGUGCACGCAAUAUGUCGACGUCGACGGGUUCGGUCCCGCGUGCCGUCACCCAGCCGUUGGCCUUCCACGUGGGCAUGUAGUCGCGUGCCCACACCAUGGCCACCGAGCAGUCGCUGCACACCUCGACCGGACCCACCCACCGGUCGGCGGCGACCGCGCGCACGGCCCGCUCCAUGGCGUACAGGCCCGCGCGACGCUCCGACUGGCGGGCACCCGGCAGGGCCUUGGCCUCGUUGCGCGGGUCGCCCGGUCCCCAGUAGACGCCGUAGCGAAAGGCGCCGACGCCAACACGCGGCGCCACGGUGACAUAGACGCGCAGGGGCACGUUGGUGCCCGGCGCCGUCAGCGUGCCGCGCCCGCCCUCUACGUAGGCGCGCGCCGACUCGGGGUCGUCAAAGCGCCGGUAGGCCGCACCAGGGUGGCCGGCCACCGACGCACGCGCUUCGUCCCACGACUCGAAUACACCCACCUGGCGGCCGGCGCGCACGGCGUACCACCGGCGCUUUGUGCGCGUCUGUCUCGUGCCCGCUGUCGCCAUCCGCCCGCACUGUUUUUCCUCGCUGCACCCUAGAAAAAAAAAUCCUGCGCCCAUGCACACACCCCAACAACACCGACACAAUGGCGCCCGACCAUAGGCUCUGCUUUUUUUCGUUGAUGGCGACUGUGUCCCCGACAACAAUGCCUUUUCUUUUUUUUUCCCAUUGUUGGCGUCUGUUGUCUUUUUUUUUUGAAAAACAAAAGAAAAAGAA